UAAUACGUAGGAGGCGAAUGUUAUCCGGAUUUACUGGGCGUAAAGAGCGCGUAGGCGGCUCUCUCAGUUGAUGGUGAAAGCUCCCGGCUCAACCGGGAGAGGACUGUCAAUACUGGAGGGCUUGAGGGCAACAGAGGAGGGUGGAAUUCCCAGUGUAGCGGUGAAAUGCGUAGAUAUUGGGAGGAACACCAGUGGCGAAGGCGACCCUCUGGGUUGUUCCUGACGCUGAGGCGCGAAAGCGUGGGGAGCGAAGAGGAUUAGAUACCCUCGUAGUCCACGCCCUAAACGGUGGAUACUAGGUAUAGGAGGUAUCGACCCUUUCUGUGCCGAAGCUAACGCCUUAAGUAUCCCGCCUGGGGACAACGGCCGCAAGGCUA
This 377-nucleotide ribosomal RNA is filed under the name uncultured bacterium. Its description in RNAcentral is "bacterial SSU rRNA". It matches the Rfam family "Bacterial small subunit ribosomal RNA", at positions 521 to 896 of the family's 1533-position model. The record is from RNAcentral.